This 762-nucleotide long non-coding RNA is filed under the name Numida meleagris (helmeted guineafowl). RNAcentral's name for it is "lncRNA (ENSNMEG00000009529.1)". Lineage: Eukaryota; Metazoa; Chordata; Aves; Galliformes; Numididae. The record is from RNAcentral.
CGAAGUCACAACCCUACUAGCUGUAGAUGCUGUAUUACUAUUUGUAGAAGAAAGAAACCAGUUGCAAUUUGCAAGGUGCAGGAUGGAAAAGCUUUGUGAGAUGUUUCCUUCUGUGCUUCAUUUAAAAAGGUGGAAAACAGCCACCAUUGAAGCAGCUCAGAUUUGUGUCCUGCAUGCCGAUCAUGGAAUCAUAGGAAUGUCAGAGUUGGAAGAGAUCUCUAGCCCAACUCCCUGCAAGAGCAUGUUCCCUAGAAGCAGGUUACACAGCAAAGUUUCCAGGUGGGUUUUGAAUAUCUCCACAGGAGGAGAUUGUGCAGCCUUUCUGGGCAGCCUGCUCCUGUGGUCUGUCACCGUCACAGUAAAGUUCUUCCUUGUAUUUGUAUUGAACUUCCUGUGUUCCUGUUUGUGCCCAUUGCCCCUCAUUCUGUCACUGGGAACUGUUGAAAAGAACUUGUCCCCACCUACUUAACACCCACUCUCUAGAUUUAUAAGCAUUGAUAACAUCCCCUCUCAGCCUUCUCUUCGCUAGGCCUGAACAGUUCCAGAUAUUGAUAUUAGACCUCUUGGGAACACCAAUAGCUAUCGACCUUCAACCAGACUCUGCACUGCUGAUCACAACCCUCUGAGAUUUGCCAAUUAUCUGGUUCUCAGUUCGACUCACUGUCCAGUCACCUGUCCCAUGCUUCCUAUGAUUUUUCUCAUCCUAAUGUGGAAAAACAAACAAAUAAGAAUAAAGCAAGAGUUAAGGUUUGGAUUAAGACA